GGUAAAGUGGCUGAGUAGGGCAUUGGACUGUAAAUCUAAGAACGGGGGCGGAUUGUCCCUCUUUACCA
This 68-nucleotide transfer RNA is filed under the name Cyclopes didactylus (silky anteater). Its description in RNAcentral is "tRNA-Tyr". It matches the Rfam family "tRNA". From Rfam's summary of the family: Transfer RNA (tRNA) molecules are approximately 80 nucleotides in length. Their secondary structure includes four short double-helical elements and three loops (D, anti-codon, and T loops). The record is from RNAcentral. Lineage: Eukaryota; Metazoa; Chordata; Mammalia; Pilosa; Cyclopedidae.